UACGUAGGGGGCAAGCGUUGUCCGGAUUUAUUGGGCGUAAAGAGCGUGUAGGCGGUCCGGUAAGUCCGUUGUGAAAGUCAAGGGCUCAACCCUUGAAUGCCGGCGGAUACUGUCGGGCUAGAGUCCGGAAGAGGCGAGUGGAAUUCCCGGUGUAGCGGUGAAAUGCGCAGAUAUCGGGAGGAACACCUAUGGCGAAGGCAGCUCGCUGGGACGGUACUGACGCUGAGACGCGAAAGCGUGGGGAGCAAACAGG
RNAcentral lists this ribosomal RNA (253 nucleotides) under uncultured bacterium. RNAcentral's name for it is "partial 16S ribosomal RNA". It matches the Rfam family "Bacterial small subunit ribosomal RNA", at positions 524 to 776 of the family's 1533-position model. The record is from RNAcentral.